RNAcentral lists this ribosomal RNA (446 nucleotides) under uncultured bacterium. RNAcentral describes it as "partial 16S ribosomal RNA". It matches the Rfam family "Bacterial small subunit ribosomal RNA", at positions 338 to 795 of the family's 1533-position model. The record is from RNAcentral.
CCUACGGGAGGCUGCAGUCGAGAAUCAUUCACAAUGGGGGAAACCCUGAUGGUGCGACGCCGCGUGGGGGAAUGAAGGUCUUCGGAUUGUAAACCCCUGUCAUGUGGGAGCAAAUUAAAAAGAUAGUACCACAAGAGGAAGAGACGGCUAACUCUGUGCCAGCAGCCGCGGUAAUACAGAGGUCUCAAGCGUUGUUCGGAAUCACUGGGCGUAAAGCGUUCGUAGGCUGUUUCGUAAGUCGUGUGUGAAAGGCGCGGGCUCAACCCGCGGACGGCACAUGAUACUGCGAGACUAGAGUAAGGGAGGGGGAACCGGAAUUCUCGGUGUAGCAGUGAAAUGCGUAGAUAUCGAGAGGAACACUCGUGGCGAAGGCGGGUUCCUGGACAUUAACUGACGCUGAGGCACGAAGGCCAGGGGAGCGAAAGGGAUUAGAUACCCUUGUAGUC